RNAcentral lists this ribosomal RNA (439 nucleotides) under uncultured bacterium. RNAcentral's name for it is "partial 16S ribosomal RNA". It matches the Rfam family "Bacterial small subunit ribosomal RNA", at positions 338 to 795 of the family's 1533-position model. The record is from RNAcentral.
CCUACGGGAGGCAGCAGUGGGGGAUAUUGCACAAUGGGGGGAACCCUGAUGCAGCGACGCCGCGUGGGUGAAGAAGCGCCUCGGCGCGUAAAGCUCUGUCCGCAGGGAAGAAAAUGACGGUACCUGAAGAAGAAGCCCCGGCUAACUACGUGCCAGCAGCCGCGGUAAUACGUAGGGAGCGAGCGUUGUCCGGAAUUACUGGGUGUAAAGGGAGCGUAGGCGGGGAUGCAAGUUGGGUGUCAAAGCUACCGGCUCAACUAGUAGUCGCACUCAAAACUGCAGCUCUUGAGUGAAGUAGAGGCAGGCGGAAUUCCUGGUGUAGCGGUGAAAUGCGUAGAUAUCAGGAGGAACACCAGUGGCGAAGGCGGCCUGCUGGACUGCAACUGACGUUGAGGCCCGAAAGCGUGGGGAGCAAACAGGAUUAGAUACCCCAGUAGUC